RNAcentral lists this long non-coding RNA (924 nucleotides) under Anas platyrhynchos platyrhynchos (common mallard). Its description in RNAcentral is "lncRNA (ENSAPLG00000018858.1)". The record is from RNAcentral. Lineage: Eukaryota; Metazoa; Chordata; Aves; Anseriformes; Anatidae.
AUGAAAAGACUCAGUAAUGUGGAGCUUCUGUCACUGGGCCUUAGUGAAAAAAUGAAGCCUAAUCACGUUGACAGGGAUGCUCCUCAAUGGAAAAUGUACAGUGUGGUCAAAGAGCUGAAGAACAUGCAGAGAGCUCGUUUUGCAAAUUCUGCUUCGAAGCCUCUUUUCCCAGCACUCGCUCGGAUUUCUGGCACAGCGCGUGGGUAUCUGAAGAGGUGGAAGUGGGCGAGCGACAGAGUUUUGGGUGCCCUUACGAAUCCUGGAGCUCUCAGCCAUUUGUGCAUCCUAUAAAUAUGAGACAAGAUGAACACAGCACAGGGAUCUGGUCCUAGGCAAGAUUUCCUGGACUUUUCCAGGAAGAAAUAGGCAGCACCAGGAAACUUUCCAUGCGAUGGAGCUGUUCUAGAGCAAACUAUUUCAGGCUCGACCUUCUCCUAACCAUCUGGUGAUGGCCCCCAAGGGAGAUGGAGGAUUGGUGGCUUCUCUGAUUGUUGCUUAACCCCUCUUCAUUCUUCAGCUUGCUCAUCUCGUGCACAGCACCAAGGCUCACUAUGGUCCUGAGCUGAUGGGUGCUUGGUGUGUGAAGCACAUGGAAUAGAGGGGAAAAAGUGUUACCGGUGUGAUACGGCCACUCGAAGGUACUUAGCGCCUGUGACAUGUUAUAAUGCAACACUCCAUGUCUUCCAGCCAUUUUAUAAACCUGGAUUGACUGGAUGCAAUUCAAAACCAAUGAAAAAAAAACACAAAAACACGCUGAAUUCAAGAGCGGGACUGCCCCGGGGGUGCUGCGCAGCCCCUUUCCAAUCACUAGACCUUUCUCCUUGCCUUCAACAACCUCACAAAUGGAUUGCCCAAAGGAAUACAAAGCCAAAAGCUGCAGACCUUAUUUCUCUACCGAGGUAACCUUUACAGCUCCGAUGAACA